This 337-nucleotide unclassified non-coding RNA is filed under the name soil metagenome. Its description in RNAcentral is "partial contains 5.8S ribosomal RNA, internal transcribed spacer 2, and large subunit ribosomal RNA". The stretch from base 1 to 120 matches the Rfam family "5.8S ribosomal RNA", at positions 35 to 154 of the family's 154-position model. The record is from RNAcentral.
GAUGAAGAACGCAGCGAAAUGCGAUACGUAAUGUGAAUUGCAGAAUUCAGUGAAUCAUCGAAUCUUUGAACGCACAUUGCGCCCCUUGGUAUUCCAUGGGGCAUGCCUGUUCGCGCGUCAUUUGUACACUCAAGCUUUGCUUGGUGUUGGGUGUUUGUCCCGCGUUGCGCGUGGACUCGCCUUAAAGCGAUUGGCAGCCGGCAUAUUGGCCUUGGAGCGCAGCACAUUUUGCGCUUCUAGUCAUGAAUGUUGGCGUCCAUUAAGCCUAUACAUUUGCUCUUGACCUCGGAUCAGGUAGGGAUACCCGCUGAACUUAAGCAUAUCAAUAAGCGGAGGA